Molecule: ribosomal RNA, 492 nt
Filed under: uncultured bacterium
Lineage: Bacteria
Description: partial 16S ribosomal RNA
Rfam family: Bacterial small subunit ribosomal RNA
Source: RNAcentral
AGUGAACGCUGGCGGUAGGCCUAACACAUGCAAGUCGAACAGCAGCACAGUAAGAGCUUGCUCUUACGGGUGGCGAGUGGCGGACGGGUGAGGAAUACAUCGGAAUCUACUUUUUCGUGGGGGAUAACGUAGGGAAACUUACGCUAAUACCGCAUACGACCUACGGGUGAAAGCAGGGGAUCUUCGGACCUUGCGCGAUUGAAUGAGCCGAUGUCGGAUUAGCUAGUUGGCGGGGUAAAGGCCCACCAAGGCGACGAUCCGUAGCUGGUCUGAGAGGAUGAUCAGCCACACUGGAACUGAGACACGGUCCAGACUCCUACGGGAGGCAGCAGUGGGGAAUAUUGGACAAAGGGCGCAAGCCUGAUCCAGCCAUACCGCGUGGGUGAAGAAAGCCUUCGGGUUGUAAAGCCCUUUUGUUGGGAAAGAAAUCCAGCCGGCUAAUACCUGGUUGGGAUGACGGUACCCAAAGAAUAAGCACCGGCUAACUUCGUG